ACCGGCGAGUAAUGUCGCCCUUCCUACGGGACAGGGGAGACAGGUGGUGCAUGGUUGUCGUCAGCUCGUGUCGUGAGAUGUUGGGUUAAGUCCCGCAACGAGCGCAACCCCUAUCUUCAGUAGCCAGCAUCAAGGAUGGGCACUCUGGAGAGACUGCCAGGGACAACCUGGAGGAAGGUGGGGACGACGUCAAAUCAUCAUGCCCCUUAUGACCAGGGCUACACACGUGCUACAAUGGCGUAAACAAAGGGAAGCGAACAUGUGAGUGCGAGCAAAUCCCAGAAAUAACGUCUCAGUUCGGAUUGUAGUCUGCAACUCGACUACAUGAAGCUGGAAUCGCUAGUAAUCGCGAAUCAGAAUGUCGCGGUGAAUACGUUCCCGGGCCUUGUACACACCGA
RNAcentral lists this ribosomal RNA (398 nucleotides) under uncultured Ruminococcus sp. RNAcentral describes it as "bacterial SSU rRNA". It matches the Rfam family "Bacterial small subunit ribosomal RNA", at positions 994 to 1393 of the family's 1533-position model. The record is from RNAcentral. Lineage: Bacteria; Bacillati; Bacillota; Clostridia; Eubacteriales; Oscillospiraceae.